AACACAAAUACAUUACCGCUCUCAGCUCAAUGGUUACCUGUGACAAACCUAUGGGAAUUCGAAACCUCAACAACAUUUCCAGGUUUGUCUCAAUUCCUCAUUCUUCUUCCACCCUUUUAUUUUCUCAUUUCUUCUCCAAAACCCUAUUUUCGUUCACCCUUUUCCACUCACAAAGUUCCUUUCUUUAUUCAACUGGGUCUUCCCCUACUUGCUUUUUCAAACCCCCUUUUGAUGAUAACCACAUAUACUUGAAGAAGUUUAGUUUUCAAUUUCUUAUUACUCCUUCAAGGUACUUUUGUUCUUACCCUUUUUCUUAUUAUAAAGGUAAACCAUAUGCUACUUCAAAACAAGUUUCUGAAAUCAUUAGAUUGAUAUGUGAGGGUGUUAAUGAUUUAGAUUAUAGGUUAAAUAUGAUGAAUGUGUCUUUGUCUAUGUCGUCGGUUAUUUAUAUUUUCGAUAAGUUAGCAAGCGAAAGAGUUUCGGCAUUGUUGUUCUUUGAUUGGCUUAAUGUUUCACAUACUGAGCUUUGUUGUGAUCCUGAGAUAGGUGGGUUGAUUGUGGAAAAUUGUGGGUUGGUGGGUAAUUUUGAUGCAAUGGUUGCAAUUUUGAACGAGUUUAACCGAAAAAAGAUGUGUUUGGGAAGAAGGGCAUUUAGGUUUUUGGUUGUUUUGAGGUUGGAUAAGGAUUCUAGUAUGGAAUGUGUGAGGAGAGUUAUUGAUGUGCUUAAUAAGGUUGGUGGGGUGUGUCGAAAUUCAGGAGUUCAGUUGUUGAUAGAGAUAUUUUGUUUUUCGGGUUCUUUUGAUAUGGCAGAGUUUGUGAUAGAAGAAGCCGGGAGGAAGGUGAAUCAUUAUAAUUUUUUGUUGAGGAUGAUGUGCAAGAGAGGGGAUUUCGAAAGAGUGUGUGAUUUGGUAAAGAAGAUGAAGAGAAGUGGCGCAGAACCGAAUGGAAGUACUUAUAGUUUGUUGGUUAGUUGUCUAUUCAAUAUCGAUAACUUUGUUGGCACUUGCCAAGUUAUCGAGACUAUGGAAAAAGACGACGGUUUACCGGAUGAGUUUACUUUCGAUACUCUUAUUAGGUUAUCAUGUAAACAUGGACAAAUUGAUUUAGCUUUGAAGUUUCUUGAUAAAAUGACUUUGAAGGGUAUUGAACCUUGUAGUUUAACUCAUGCUGCAGUGAUAAAGUUUUAUUUUGAAUCGGGAAAAUACGAUGCAGCGUACGAGUAUGUGGCUGAUUCUGCUGGUAAGUAUAGCUAUUCCAGCAAUGAAAACUACACCUUACUUGCUUCUCUUCAUUUAAAGAAAGGAAAUGUUCUACUUUCUCAAAGGAUUCUUUAUGAGAUGAUGGAUAAGGGUCUUAAACCUAAUUAUUCAGUGUAUACAAAGGUAAGAAAGCGUCUUGAGAAGAAAAAUAGAAAAGAUUUGUCUUUGGAAUUAUCAAGAAGGUACUUGAGCUUGAUUGAAAAAUGAACAACAUGAUGCUGGAUUUUGUGUGACGAGUUUCCGUAAUGUCAUCUGGGGUUUGCUUAAUAGCUACUCGGCAUCCAAAGGGGUUCAGCCAUUGAUAUUUGCUUCGGUUUUUUUCCUGGUAUUCAGCAGCAUGCACUGCAUUUGGGACAACAAUUUGUCCUGAAGGGUUCAAGAUUUAAAGAAGCCGCGGCGGAAUAAUUGUGAUUAGAGCUUAACUUGGCAAUGAUGUAAGCUUCUACAAUAGAGAAGAACUUUAUAGUGUAGGAGGAAGGGUAAAAAGCUCUUAAUCCUGUGUUUUAUUUCUGUGGUAUCCUUAGGUUGUUAAGUUAGUUUUCUGUCAUUGUAUUGUUAGCUAGUUAGUUAGGUUGUAUAACUGAUUUUGUUAUCCUUUAAAUAGAGGGAUGUAAUCAGCUUUAGGCAUCUUUGAAUUUUUCAUUAGAAUUUGACUAGUCUCUAGUGUAUCAUUUUAUUUGGUUAUCGAUAAAUUUCGGGAGGAAUAAACUUCCUUUUUAUUUGGUCCGACUUGCUGGAUACAAUGGUGAGUGCAAUGGAAAAUCAAGUGAACGCGUUGGAAAGGAUGGCCUGCAAAAGGACAGGUGUUAGCAGAUUUGAAGGCUAACGUCGACUGUGUUACUACAGUAUUACCAUACAUGGAGCAGAUCAAGAACUUGCUUUUGGACCUCAAAAAAAGCAAGGUUACUGAAGAGGAUGAAAGUUUCGAAGUCAACAAAAAGCAGAAGAAUGAUGACAACAAGCGGGAAGGUUCGAGUGACGACAAUGAGGAAAGACCUCGCUCUUGGGUCAAGAAGGUAGGGCUACCAACAUUCGAAGGGAGUGAUCGAUGGAUAGCUUGUGCCGAUAAAUUUUUUGAAGUGCAAUGUAGAAAUCUAUAGAAUGUGAUGUAUCUACACACUCUGAUGUUUUGCUGUGAUAGCUCUAUGUGGUGUACUGGUAUAGUGGUUUUGUACUUUUUGUACCUAUUCUGGUUUUUUAAUAACACUUUUAGCAUUUUUCACAUAAAAAAAAACCUUGUCUUUGGUAUCA
Molecule: non-coding RNA, 2510 nt
Organism: Cicer arietinum (chickpea)
Lineage: Eukaryota; Viridiplantae; Streptophyta; Magnoliopsida; Fabales; Fabaceae
Source: RefSeq, a predicted model, not a curated record